AGCGGCACCUCGGGGUGCCCAUUCGGGCUGAGACGCAGGAUGCGGACCCGUCGAACCUGAUCCGGUUGAACCCGGCGGAGGGAAGGUGCGUGCCUCUCGC
This 100-nucleotide non-coding RNA is filed under the name Jannaschia seosinensis. Its description in RNAcentral is "TPP sequence". It matches the Rfam family "TPP riboswitch aptamer (THI element)". From Rfam's summary of the family: Vitamin B(1) in its active form thiamin pyrophosphate (TPP) is an essential coenzyme that is synthesised by coupling of pyrimidine and thiazole moieties in bacteria. The record is from Rfam by way of RNAcentral. Lineage: Bacteria; Pseudomonadati; Pseudomonadota; Alphaproteobacteria; Rhodobacterales; Roseobacteraceae.